UAUUGGAAAAGAGUGAAGUCAUUCAUCCAACAUUAAACAAUAAAAGUCAACUGCAUAUUAAUAUAAUGAUGUGAUAGGUAAUAAUAUGCAAUGACUUAAAGAGUGUUUAUUGGAAUGAAUGCUCCCUAACAACUGGCCAGUAUCAAACAGCUUUUUAGUAACAGGAAGUAAGUUUCAUCAUGAAGGGUAAGAAUUUAUUAACCAGCGCAGAGAACAAAGUGAGCGCUCCUGGGCAUCACCUCCUCCUCCAAACGUAACUUCCUUAAAACAGAGCAGUUCCACACCUCCCACUGCGACGUGCUACAGUCCUUCACCAUCUACAAAUACCAUCCCUCGCCCGCCUCAGCGGGACAUUUCCAUCGACUCCUCUGCCGCAUCUCUCGCCUCCUCUCAUCGCGCCACCAUGAAGAUACUGGUUGUAGGACUUUCCACACUGCUGCUGCUGGCAUUAGCGCAGACUCAAAACAACGAUACAGCGUCAACCCAGACCAACAGCACAGCCUCAACCCAGACCACGGACUUGUUUCUAGAUGUUAACUCGCAGACAGACCUUCCCAACACCACUGCCACUAAUGCAUCCGAUUUCUGGAACAACACCACAACUGGUGCUCUGGCAACCGCAGGGAUGUCCACCACCGGCUCAGCCGCUACUGCAACCUUGGCACCGACCACAAACUCAAAUACGACCUCGGCACCGGCCGCAAACGUAACUAUGAACUCAGUACCAAUCGUAGCCACAAGUACGACCUCGGCACCGACCACAGCCACAAAUAUUACUUCUGCCCCGAACACGACCACAAAUACGACCUCGGCCCCGAACACGACCACAAAUACGACCUCGGCCCCGAACACGACCACAAAUACGACCUCGGCCCCUAACACGACCACAAAUACGACCUCGGCCCCGAACACGACCACAAAUACGACCUCGGCCCCGAACACGACCACAAAUACGACCUCGGCCCCGAACACGACCAUAACUAUGACCUCGGCACCGACCACAACCACAACGACGACCACCACUACAACCACAACCUCUGCACCAACUACAACUAAAGCUACUACAACAACCACGACCCCAACCACAACCACAACCACAACCACGACCACGACCCCAACCACGAGCAAACCGGCUGCACCAAACACAACUGCCGGCUCGGCACCGACCACCACCAAAACCCUGACAACUCCGACAUCCGCUAACAUCCCUCCCUCGGCCGUGGCAACGACUACUGCACGCACCACCAGGCCAAACUGUGGCUCUCAGCUCAACGCGUCUCUGCUGAUGUCCGUCCUGCUGUGGUUUCUCUGCACCCUGUUGACCUGA
Molecule: long non-coding RNA, 1327 nt
Filed under: Betta splendens (Siamese fighting fish)
Lineage: Eukaryota; Metazoa; Chordata; Actinopteri; Anabantiformes; Osphronemidae
Description: lncRNA (ENSBSLG00000019051.1)
Source: RNAcentral